RNAcentral lists this ribosomal RNA (497 nucleotides) under uncultured bacterium. RNAcentral's name for it is "partial 16S ribosomal RNA". It matches the Rfam family "Bacterial small subunit ribosomal RNA", at positions 28 to 507 of the family's 1533-position model. The record is from RNAcentral.
GAUGAACGCUGGCGGCGUGCCUAAUACAUGCAAGUCGAGCGAACAGACGAUGAGCUUGCUCCUCUGACGUUAGCGGCGGACGGGAGAGUAACACGAGGAUAAUCUACCUAUAAGACUGGGAAAACUUCGGGAAACCGGCGCUAAUCCCGUAUAACCUGCUGAACCGCAUGGGUCAACAGUGAAAGACGGUCUUGCUGGCACUUAUAGCUGGAUAUGCGCCGCAUUAGGUAGUUGGGAAGGUAAAGGCUUAUCAAGGGAACGAUGCGUAGCCGACCUGAGAGGGGGAUCGGCGGCACGGGAACGGAGACACGCACCAUGCGCCUACGGUAGGCACCAGUAGGGAAUCGUCCGCAAUGGUCGGAAGCCUGACGGAGCGACGCCGCGUGAGUGAAGAAGGUCUUCGGAUCGGAAAACUCUGUUAUUAGUUAAGAACAAAUGUGUAAGGAACUAUGCACGUCGUGACGGUACCUAAUCAGAAAGCCACGGCUAACUACGUG